This 1564-nucleotide long non-coding RNA is filed under the name Pan troglodytes (chimpanzee). RNAcentral's name for it is "long non-coding RNA NONPTRT010364". The record is from RNAcentral. Lineage: Eukaryota; Metazoa; Chordata; Mammalia; Primates; Hominidae.
AGCAGAGUUGACAUCCACCACGUUCCACAUCACGCAGGAGUCAUCAGAGAUCACAAUGAAAGGCCAGAUGUCCUGCGGCUUGAUUCCCAGCUCCUCCUGCCGGUUCCGCUCGAGCUCCAGGUUAUGGUAGGACAGCUCCUUGAUGAGGAAGUGAGCGGCACCUGCAGUGGGCAAAGCAACUGGACUCAGGACUGACCUGCACCCACACCCACAGCAGACAGACCCCAGGCAGACCUGCUGUCGGGGCCGCCCAGACAAGCCAGCUCCGACCUUCCUGACAUGAAUCACCUGUCACAAAACACGGCCCAUGGGCUAGGGAGAGAAAACUACAGGGAGGAAAACACUCCUCUCCAGGUGGAACACAAAUUUGCUUUCUUAUGCUUUCUUCUCUAACCAUUGAAAAUAUCAAUUUGGCCAGGCGCAGUGCAGUGGCUCACGCCUAUAAUCCCAGCAGUUUGGGGGGCCGAGGCAGGCCAGUCACCUGAGGCCAGGAGUUUAAGACCAGCCUGGCCAACAUGGUGAAACCCCGUCUCUACAAAAACGCAAAAAUUAGCCAGGCGUCAUGGCUGGUGCCUGUAAUUCCAGCUACUUGGGCAGCUGAGGCGGGAGAAUCGCUUGAACCCGUAAGACAAAGGCUGCAGUGAAUCGAGAUCAUGCCGUUGCACUCCAGCCUGGAUGACAGAACGAGACUCCAUCUCAAAAAAAAAAAAAAAAAAAAAAGAGAAAGAAAGAAAGAAAGAAAGAAAGAAAGAAAGAAAGAAAGAAAAUAUCGAUUAAAUGGAUAACCAAACACUGGGUGCAGGUAGCGGGGAAAGACUGCAUAAAAGAGUCAAACAAAAUGAAAAUAGCUUUAAAAGUCCAAAAGUAAAAGGCCUGAUGUCACAUGUUUAACUUUUGUCUCUAGAAUACUCUCGCAAGUGUUCGUUCACAGGUGUUUGACUGAGUAGAUGAUGUUAAAGGACACUCACCAACUCCAGCGCUGUUGAAGAUACUGGGGAGCACCAGCAUGAUGUGGUUGGGCCAAUAUUUCUUAUAAAUUGCCAUCUCGUAUUCCUUGACAACCAGCACGUGCAAAUGGCUGGCACCGUCCAUUGCGUGGUACAGAUUAAAGAGCCCAUGUUCGUGACGGCCGGUGGUUGGAGUGAAUGUCGGACUUUUUAUAUAUUCAUGGCUCUGCAAAGUACAGGUAUCAUGAGGUAGAGUGUUUGUAAAUGUGGCCGCAAUUAUUCCCUUGACAUGUGACUUUGCAGCAUUUUCCAUCAAAGAAUGAUGACCAUUCCUAUACUGCUGGAAUUUUCAGCCUUGUGACUUGCUUUUACCAGUAAAGGGGAGGAAAAAUGGCCUUGUGCCAGUCCUGGGCAUAGCCUCAAGAGGACUUAAUGUUCCACACCCUCUCAGAACUCUCCCAUGCACAAGCCCGGGCUAGCCUGCUGGACGAUGAGAGACCACAUGGAGGAGAGCUGAACAGCCCAGCUGAGGCCACCAGCCAGCCCGCAGACAACCUGCUGGCUCACUAUCGACACGAUUCAACUGGCAGAGCUAGGCCUUCUGCUCCCUCUGAAUU